RNAcentral lists this long non-coding RNA (33255 nucleotides) under Malus domestica (apple). Its description in RNAcentral is "long non-coding RNA (MDOM_LNC018682)". The record is from RNAcentral. Lineage: Eukaryota; Viridiplantae; Streptophyta; Magnoliopsida; Rosales; Rosaceae.
AAAUACCUUUCGUUUUUCUUCCCAUUCCUGCUUUGCUUUUCAAUGUUAAACAGUGGAUUUACAAAUUUCCCCUUACUAUUUGUUGGCUGGGGGUGCCACCACCUCUAAGAAGAUACCUGUUUGUUCCAUUUGGGUCCAGAAUCUCCCCAGUUCUCUUUCUCACAAACCACGAACCAAAAAAUUCUCUCUCUAAAAAGAUCACGAACCCCAGCACAAUCUCUCUCAAAACCUGUUAACCACAACACAAUCCGGUCCCGAUUCGAAGAAAGCUUUAAGCCCAGAAAAAGUUCGGUUUCAUGGUGAGUUCUCCUACCGAUUUGGUGCUUCUUUUUGUUUUUGUUUUUUCUAGAUAGCAUGCAGUCUUUUCUGAGUUAAUGGUUGAGGGCUUUGUUACAAAAAUAAAGUAGUGGUUGUGGGUCAGGUAUGAGGUUUUUUAGGUACUCAAGAUUCCUGAAUUCUAAAUGUGUUGAAUUUGCUUUUGUUUUUCACUAAUUGCAUGCAUCAUAGAAUUAAUACAAAUACAAAAUGGAAAAAUGAUUUUCAUCCAUAAAUAAUAUUCAAAUACUUGAAAAGUUUGUUUUAAAUUGGGUUUGGUUUCAUUGGUUUUUCUGAUUUUGAAACUUUUGUUUUCAGGCUCCAAAGGCUUUUAGGGGCUUGUUUGGUAUCAUAUUAAAAAAAAAUCAUUAUUUCUCAAAACAUUUUUUUAAGAAUCUCUCUUAAAAACAAUUUUCUUUUAAGAUUCAAAAACUUGUUUAGUAUGAGAUUUAAAAUUAUUUUUAAAUCUUAGAUAAGUUUGCUGAAAUUAAGUAUGGUUCCUUUGCAGGGGAGUUUGUUUUGAUUUUUUGUGGAAGAAUUCCAGUUUCCAGCGCUUCGUAUUCUUCAAUUACAGGUAAAUGAAUGUUGCAUGUGAAAUUUUUUUUCACCAAAUAAAGAAAACCCUUUUGUUGGGUUGGGCGAAGCCAUAUUGCUUCUAUUGGCAUAAAACUAUUCCCACACAAUCAAAGUAUGCAGUGGUUUGAUAAUUAAGUACAGAAAAUCUUCGGCUGAUAUCCUUCUUCUCUUUGCGUGAUAAAACCAUGUUUUUUGGAUUAUGAUGCUUAUUCUGAUUCGUAUCUGUAAUCAUUGAUGAUAUAACAUUGUAGGCUUGGAGUAGGUUUUGUAGUCUUUUUCCUGAAAUAUAACUGAGUACUUCAUAAUCGUUGCAGUCCUUGGUUUGUGAUUUUGUUGCUCGAGUACCGAGGUUUAUCUUUUGGUGCUCUCUUAUUGGUUCUCACAUUUGAUUCAUCUCACCAAAUCAUUAAUGUAGAUUUCCUCUUGAAAUUUUAGCUUUGAAAUAGGUAGGUGGCGAUCUUUGCUUGGCUCUAUCAGUUGAUUCACAUAACCUAAUAAUUGAAGUCUUCUUUUCCUUGGGUCGGAAAAAUGGCAAUAAUUCUACUUGAGUUGAUAUUUCUUAAAAAAAAACUAAUGAAAAGGGCAUCAAAUUUUUACAUUUUAAUAAAAAAUCAUCCAUUAAUUUUAUUUAAUGACAAGGACAAAAGAAUUAAAAAAAAACAUAAAAAACCGAACUUGCGCUGGGCGCGUCCCCCAACCCCCCUUCCACACUCCACUUUUUUCCCGAUUGUCUGAUACAUUAAUAGAUUUUUUAUUUAUUUUAUUUUUGCUUAGAAUAAGAAAAAGAGUUCAAACUGAAUUACAUUCCCCAUUUUUAUAUUUCUGGUGUUUUUUUUUCUAAUAAUAGUCAAGAUAAUGAGAAAUUUUUCAAUGUGCUCGGAGCACGGGAUGGUACACCACGUGUAUCUAUACAAGUUGUGAGAUUCUUGUGUAAAAAAUUAAUUACACAAAAAAUAAAAUUUUUCGCUACUUACAUAAUAACACGUGGUGUGCCACUUGUGUUAUGGGCACAAGGUAAAGUUUCUUCAAGAUGACACUCAAGCUCCAAAAAUUGGAUGGAGAGCUGCAUUUAUUUUUGUAGGUAUGUAAAAAAAUGUGAGGAAAUUUUAAUUUAGUAAUUGAAAACAACUUUUUAAAUAUAAUUAUCGAGAACAUAAUCUUCUCAAGGUUUUGAUCUAAUGGAUCACUUCUGGGUUCAUCGUUUUGGGCGCAAUGAGUGCUUUUACAGGACCAAAAAGAGUCUUAAGUUUCAAACCUUAUGAAACUGAACCAAGAAGUAAACACUAUUUAUAAAAGUUGACCAAUAAGUAGACACUAUUUAUGAAACUAAAUCAAUUAGCAUACACUAUAUAUGAAAUUGAACCAAUAAGUAUACACUAUUUAUGAACGAAAACAAGAAUUAGACAAUAUUUCUAAAACUAAACCAAUAGAUGAAAAUUAUUUAUGAAACUGGACUAUACAAUAUUUACGAAACUGGACUAAGAAUUAGACAAUAUUUAUGAAACAAGAUCAAGAACUAGGCAUUAUUUAUGAAAGUGGAUCAAUAACUAGGCACUAUUUAUGAAACUGGACCAAGAAAGAGACACUAUUUAUGAAAUUAUACUAAUUACUAUACAUUAUUUAUAAAACUGGACCCAAUAACUAGGCUUUAUUUAGUCCAAGCAUUUUUCAUGAAAGUUCCCAUUUCUUAAUGAAAUAAACUAAUAGAAUAAUUAAGUCCUUUUGGGACCGCUCUUGCGCGGUUUAGAAUCACUUCUGAAUAAAGCACCUCCCACUUUUAAACCUAGAAUCACCUCCCAAAUAGGCCCUAAGCAAUACAAGAUCCAAAAGCUUUAAAUAAUCAUUUAAGUUAAUCCACCUGCUAAUUAGGAAGAAAAAUAAUCAAUUUGUAAAGUACUCUAAUAACAGUGGUUGUGGAAAAUGGAAACGGCUCCCCUCCGGAUCCAUUAUGUGGGGAUCCUAGAAAGCCUCACAUCUCAGUCAUUCAUCGUGUAUCGUGAUGUCAGAAAUCAUUUGACUUUUAUUAUUUUAAAUUAAACAUAAAUAAUACCUGACGAAAAUUGACUGCACGAUAGACGAUGAACGGCUGAGAUGUGGGGAUCCCAGGAUCCCCACAUAAUGGAUCUGGAGGGGAUUGGAAAAUUAGUAUUUGGUCCUCCCUAGUUACUAAUGCUUAUUGAUUAAGACGUUAUUAGUUUUCAGAUUUUGAUUAAAGUCCCUACCAUUAAUGUAUUGAUGAAUUUAGAUGUCAGUUAUAUAAUUUUUUGAAAUAAAAUUAGUAAUUGUUUUAAGGUUUUAAUAUUCACACCCUUAUUACACUCCUAAUUAAUUUUCAAUUCAAAAUAUUUCCAAAAAAAAAAAAAAAAGAUUUAGUUUGCACCCAUUAAAUUUUUUUGUUUAGAAAUAUUUUCAAUUUUUAAUCUUAAAUGUAACCAUUCAUAUAACUUUUCAAUUUUUUAAUCCUAAAUGUAAACAAUACUUUUUUUUUAGUAUAACAUGUACCCAUUUCUUUUUAUAUAAGAUCCAUUCCAUUUUUUUCUAAUCUAUAUUUUAAACUUAUAUGGGUACAUUCUAUUUCGUUGAUCUAAGAAUGUAUCCCCGUCAAGGAAGAAAAUAUCGGUAAUAUCGGAAAUAUCGGUAGUCCGAAAACAUGGAAAUAUCGAUGGAAAUAUCGGGAUAAUAUCGAUAUCGAUAAAAAUUACAUGGAAACCACGGAAAUUGUAAGAAAAACUUGGAAAUUUUUAUUGAAACUUUGCAGGAUGUUUAUUUAGUCAAUUAUCUAUUAGUUUAUCACAAAAAAUUGGAAGGAAAUGCAUUGCAUGAUGGAUUUAACAUUAUCAAGUUGAUUAUAUAGCGAGCUGACAAACAUUGUGACUAUAGAAAAUAUGUAGAAAUUAAUGAAAGAAGUCUAAACACACCAUAAUCAUUAUAUAUAAUGAAUUAGUACAAUAUUUUACACUUUAUACAUUGCAUGGUAAGAUACAUGAGUGACUUAGUACCACAUAGAGUUCCUAUGAGGUUCAAAAUUUUCACUAUCUUCAUCAUCUCUAUGUGUAGAGUGAGUGUAUUUUGAAGAGUAGUUACCAACUAUGGCAAUGGUUUUCAAGAACCAAAACCCAAAAGUCAAUAGGAAACCGAAUACUUCAGUAUUUUUCGGGAUUACCAAACAAAUGGGAUUUGGAAACCAAUCCCAUAUCGAAAAUUUCGGUAUUUUUCGGGAUGGGAUUCCCGAACUUCAGGAUGGUUUUGGUUUAGGAUUUUUCGGUUUGGGUUUGGGACUUUUUCGGUUUGGUUUGGGAUUUUCCGGAAUUUUUUCCAGCCCUUGACCAAAUAAAAAAUAGAAAAAUUAAAAACCACUUGCCAUUGACUAAGUAAUUAAUUGACACAAUUUAAAAUAUAAUACCACAAAAAAUUUGGAAUAUGUGCAAAUUUGUUUCUUGUAAAAAUAAACCAUAUAUAUAAAUAUUGUAGCUUAUUAUCAUAACAACAUAAGUGGUACAGUGGUUAAGGCCUUAAGAAGUUAAGGGGGAGGGGUUCGAACCCCUUUAUACUCAAAACCGAGUCUUUUCCAAAUUUUAAGGAAUUUUUGGACUAAUAUCGCGACAUUUUAGCGAAUAUCGCGAUAUUAUAAAAAAUAUCGAGAAAUAUCGCGAUAUUAUCGAUAUUUGCGAUAAUAUCGCGAUAUUUUAACGAAAACUCAUUGGAUACUCCUUAAAAUAUCGGUAAGUAAAAAAAACGAAAAUUUCGCCGAUAUUUUCGAUAUUUAAAUCCAUGAUCCCCGUCAAGUUUAAUCAAAUAAAUUUAAUAAUGUUAUUAAGUCUUUUUUUGUGGUUUUGGAAAAUGUACCCAUGUUUUGGUACAAUAAUUUUUUUACUAUUAUUUACGAAUGUGUAUAUACACAAUAUAUUGGAGAGUAUAAUUUAUCCUUUAAUAUUUUUAAUUCCACUAAUUAUGGGUUUUAUUUAAAAUCUCAUAAAUAUAAACAACUAUAACUACAAAUUUCAAUUUUCAAUUUAAGAAUAUAAUAACUUACAUAUAAAUAUAUUAUUUCAUUAAUGUCAAAGACUUAGAUCAAAAGCUGAAAACCAACAAGAUUUCAGUUAAAGAGCAUUGAUAGUUAGGGAUCGCAUCCCAACUCUGCCCUUAAAAAAUUAUUAUUCUAAGCAAUGCGCAUCUAAAACUAUGAUAUCUCAUCUUAUCAAUCUUAGAUUUAAAUAGUGACUAGAGAUUACAAAGAGAGAUGAAAACAAGUUUAAUAACAAUUAAGGAUUUUGUUAUUGCAUGAUUCAGUGAGUUUCUUACUGAAUAACAUCGUAGAGGAGAAAUGAUCACUUGUAGGAAAAUGAUUCAAUGAGUUUGUUACUAGAUAACAUUUGAUUCAUUUUUUAUUUGCUCAAUAAAACGAUUAAAAAGAAAUUAGAGUGUGUAUAAGUAACAAAUUAAUGAGAGUUUGUAAAAUGUAAAAAGAAAUGAGAGUAUGUAAUGGGAUCAUUAACAACAUAAUCAAGAAUAAUCAUUAUGUUUAUCUCAUUGAAUCAGCAUUUUCUAUUUGUCAAAAAAUAGGACAAACAUAAUGAUGUCUAAAUUCAGAAGCUGGAAUACAACUAUGAUUCAUUGAGUUUCUUUUUGUCAGAAAAUGUAAGUUGAUGUCUAACUUCAGAGUUGUACAGCUAUAGAGUAUGCUAUUUAUUUCAUCUUAUACUCCAUAUUUGUGCUUAGAGAUAAGCAAAAUGAUGUAUGAGAAACUUCAUCAAGCAGCCCUUUUGUUUUAAUGGUUUUUCGGUUGAUGUUUUGUUUAAUGGUUGCUCUUUUGCGACUAAAUUGGUGGUUUCAUAUAUUAAGUUCAAUUGUUAGAAAGUAGAAUUUUUCUUCGGUUUGGACGUGAUUUUUUCCAUAUAUUUAAUUACUUACAGAACUUGAUCGUCUCUGUUUCAACUCUGUUUGCGUUAUGAAUAGCAACUCUUUCCAAGUUUAACAUGGAUUUAUUUUUAGAGUGGAAUUAUGUACAGAAAAUCUCUAAAGAUGCUGACAAUGGAGGGACAUUGAUUCAGAACACAGUGGUCAAGUCUUUACAAGCUAAUUCUGCAGGUAAUAGAAACUACACCUUUUCUCUCUGCUUGCAUGCUUUUUAACAUAGAGAGAAAUUGAAAUUGUACUUUAGAAUUAGCGUUCUUUUUUAUGAUCUACUGCCUGGUAAGGGUUCUUGAAAUUGUAUUUUAGAAUUAGUGUUUUUCUUGAUUCAAAACAAAAGGUCUAUAAUUUCCUUCCUACAUUCCAUGUAUUUACAUAGUAUUGCCUAUUGUAAAUAUAUUUACAAAUUUUACAUGUUUUAUACGGUUUUGAAACACUCAACAUAAGGGACCUCUGUUUCAUAUGUAUUUAUUUUUGCUUAAAUGUCAAAAUGGUCCCUGUAUUGUAGCCACAUGGCAAAUUUAGUCCCCAUGUUUUUGUUUUGGUUAAUUUAGUCAUCAUGUUUGUUUCUGUUAGUCAAUUAAGGAUAUUUCAUUCAAUCUCUUUUAAAAAAUUCAUAAGAAAAUUUAUAUGAGAUAUUAUUAUCAUUUCUCUUUACAAAAAAAUGCAAAUUAAUAAGAAAUAACACAUAUAAGAGAUAAAACUUCCAAUCUGAAAAAUGAUUAAGAUUGUGACAUAGAAAAGAGAGGGUAAUGUUAGGGAGGAGGUCGGGAAAUUGGAAGGAGAAUAAAUUUUCUUUUAAUUUCAUUUUUAAAUAUUUUAAAUCAAAUAAAUAAUUUUAUAAAUAAGUUUACAAUAAUUUAUAAAAAAUUUUACAGAAAUUAGAUGGAAAUGUCCUUAAUUGGCUAAUGAAGAUAAACACAAUGACCAAAUUGAUCAAAUUGAAAACACAUGAAUUAAAUUGACCCAAUAACUAAAACACAGAGACCAUUUUAACAUUGAAGCCUUUAUUUUUAGAACACUUCCAGCCCAGCCAAGUCCCCUGGGCGAUGAGCUCUGGAAUCCCCCUACCCAAAAAAAAAGAAAAAGAAAACGCAGCUCCAGCCCAUUCCAAUAACCUCGGCUCCCCUGGAGCCCCCACUUUUCCCCCAGGUCCGAAUUGACUGGCCCAGCCACCGGGUGGUAUGACAUCACUUUGAUGUUAGCCAUGAUUAGAAAAUUAUAAAAAAUACAAAAACUUAUAAAAAGUCAAUUAAAAAUAUAAAAAAGUUAUAAAUUUUUUUCUAUAAAUACCAUAUUUUUUCACUUUACAUCACAUUUCAAUAUUUUCAAAUACUUUUCAACCAAUUUUUUAUUGUCAUUCCAAAUUAAAAAUAAAAUUAUUUCUUAUUAAAAAAUAUUUUAAUACCAAUAACCUGGGCUAUUUGGUGGAGAUGUAAUGAGACAGUUACUGUUCACUAAAGACAGUUACUAACUUACCAUCCACUUUGGCGGAUUGGGUUGCCUAUAGCACAUGGAGACAUUUAGGGGUAGGGUUGCUCUAAAAAGUGGAGUUUUAAGGCAGCCGAUGAGAAAUGACUCCAAACGCAUCUACUUUUGUGUUAAAUAUAAUAAAGUCAGUCUUUGUUUAAUAUCAAUCCAAUAACUCUUGGUUUGAAUUAGUUUAUUUGUAGCGAAAACGAACCAUAGUUUUCGUUACAUUGAUAUUGCUAGCUAAUUUGUGAUUAUCUCCCCCAGCAAAACUCAAUUCCAUUUGCAAAGAAGAGAUCGAUCAUGGCUGUGGAGGUGGUAGGCGGAGCAUUUUUCUCCGCUUUCUUUCAACAAGUAUUUCAAAAGAUGGAUUCUCAGGAGGUCAAGAACUUCAUCAGAGGAAAGAAACUGACUGAUGGGUUGCUGAAGAAGUUGAGGAUCGAGUUGUUAUCUGUCAAUGCUGUUUAUGAUGAUGCCGAGCAAAAGCAAUUAAGUAACCCAGUUGUGAAGCAGUGGCUGCAUGAGCUUAAAGAGGCAGUCUUUCAUGCUGAGGACCUUCUGGACGAGAUCAAGACAGAAGCGUUAAAGCGGAAAAUGGAAGCUGAAUUUGGAAGUAGCAUAAGCAAGGUACAAGACCUCAUCUCUGCUUCUUUCCAUGCUUUUGAUGAGUCUAUAGACAACAAGAUAAAGGAAAUUAUUGAGACGCUAAGCUUCAUUUCACAACAGAAAGAUGCCUUCGGUUUGAAAGAACGUUGUAGUCACAGAAUCUCACAAACAUUGCCUUCAACUUCUUUAGUAGAAGGCUCUGAUGUAUAUGGAAGAGAUCAUGAGAAGGAAACCAUCAUUCAAUUGUUGCUAUCAGAUGAUGUUACUUGUAAUAAGAUUGGCGUCAUUCCCAUCGUGGGCAUGGGUGGGAUCGGAAAGACCACCCUUGCCCAGCUCUUAUACAAUGAUGAUAAAGUGAAGCAGCAUUUUGUGCUCCAGGCAUGGGUUUGUGUUUCUGAUGAAUUUGGCGUUGUUAAGAUCACACAAACAAUUUAUGCAUCAGUCACUUCACAAACCUGUGAUACCACAGACCUAGACCAGCUUCAAGUCAAACUCAAAGAUGCUUUGAAGGGGAAGAAGUUUCUUUUUGUUCUUGAUGAUGUUUGGAAUGAGAAUUACAAUAUUUGGGAUUCCUUAAGGCGCCCCUUCGAGUCUGGAGCUCAUGGAAGUAAGAUCAUUGUCACCGCAAGGAAUGAUGGCGUUGCAACUACGAUGGGUACUUUGCAAACCCACUAUUUAAAGAACUUACUUGAGGAAGACUGUUGGUUUUUAUUUGCAAAACAUGCCUCCAAAGAUGCAAGUGGUGUUGUAGAUCCAAAUCUUGAGGUAAUUGGAAGACAAAUUGUUAGCAAGUGUAAAGGCCUUCCUUUAGCUGCAAAAUCUCUCGGUGGUCUCUUACGCUCUGAAUCAAAAGUGGAGGAGUGGGAAAAUGUGCUAAAAAGUGACAUAUGGGAGUUGUCAUAUGCAAAGAUUGACAUUCUGCCGGCUCUAUGGCUAAGCUACCAGUACUUGUCUCCGGAGCUGAAGCGUUGUUUUGCUUAUUGUUCCAUAUUUCCCAAAGACUAUAAAUUUAACAAAUCUGAAUUAAUUUUGUUGUGGAUGGCCGAAGAUCUUUUACAACCCCAAAAGAAGACUAUGUUGGAAGAUGUUGGAAAGAAAUACUUUGAUGAUCUGAUCUCACGGUCAUUUUUUCAAUACUCAUCUUCAAAUGAUUGUUUCAUCAUGCAUGAUCUGAUGCAUGAUUUGGCGACUUACGUAUCUGGAGAAUUUUGCAUUAGAUUGGAAGACCACAACUUCUCAUUGGACGUUGUGAGCAAGGGGUCGUCAUUUUUUUUCUUAUUUGCAAUAUUCAUCUAAUGUUGAUUAUAAGAGAUUUGGCACUAUUUAUGAAGCUAAGUAUCUGCGCACCUUCAUUCUUGGCGAUCUCUAUUUGCCGACAGUACGACUUGAUCUCCUUUUAAUGCUACAGUGUUUAAGAGUCAGUUUCAAAACUACGUGUGCAUGAUAUCACGGAGUUGCCUGAUUUGAUUAGCAACUUGAAGCAUCUACGGUACCGAUCAUUGUACCAACUUGUGUGACCGGACACGUGUAACACUCCAAUCCCAGAAAUUACACGAACACGGUAUGCAGGUUUGUUUGUAUAAUUUACAAACAUUGUUGUUGUUGUCAAAAUUGUACAUGUCUAGCUGAGUUGCCCACCGAUUUGAGAAGACUUAUCAACUUGCGCCAUCUUGCUUGAUUUCAGAGGUACGAAAAUAAAAAAGAUGCCCCCCCACAUGGGCAAGUGGGCAAGUUGAAAGAUCUCCAAACAUUCGGAGGUGAGUUUGUCUUGCUUGAGCAAAGAUGCUGGGGGAUACAUUGAUGAGUUAAAGGGGUUUCAGCAUUUGAGUGGAAAUCUUCAUAUUUCAGGGCUUCAAAAUAUCAAACAUGCUGAGGAUGCUUUGGAGGCCAAACUGAGGGACAAGAAGCUCAGUGAAAUACAUUUGAAAUGGGAAGGUGACACUGCUGAUUCUCAAAACGAUAGCCGAGUGCUGGGCAACCUGCAGCCCAAUACAAACCUAAAGGUACUGGCUAUAAAGGGAUACGGAGGUAUAAAGUUUCCAGGUUGGUUAGGAGAUGAGUCUUUCUCUAAUCUCAUCACUCUCCGACUUGAGAAUUGUGGAUAUUGUUUCUCCCUGCCAGCAUUGGGGCGGCUAACGUCCCUCAAAAGGCUUGAAAUUGAUGGGUUGAAUGGAGUGGAAUUAGUGGGGUCUGAGUUUUAUGGGCCUGCAUUUAAAUCUCUGGAGUUUCUGAGUUUCCGCAGUAUGCGGGAAUGGCAAGAGUGGUGUUUCCCUGGAGGUGAAGAAGAAGAAGGCGGACAUUUUCCUAAUCUUUGCGAGCUUAGUCUGGAGAACUGUCCCAAACUAACGGGGAAAUUACCGUUAUACUACUUCCCAAGACUUGAGCGGCUAAUUUUGCAGAAAGUUAAUAUCGAAUCCCUUGCUUGUUCGCAAGAAUGCAAUAAAUUCAAUAUUGAACUCCCAUCCCUCCGUGACUUGGGAAUAUCAGAUUGCCCGAAUCUGGUAUGUUUUGUGGGUGGUGGAGUGCUGCUUGCGCCCAACUUGAAGAGGAUAUCUAUGUGCCGUUUUAAAAACUUGUGGUCAGUGCCAGAGGAGAUGCACGCCUCUCUCCCGUCUCUUCAGUCUCUGUCCAUGGAAGAGUGUGAAGAAUUUAAAUCAUUUCCUGAAGAAUCUAAAUUCCCAUCCCUCUAUUAUUUGAAGAUAAAGGAGUGCCCAGAAUUUGUGGGUUUCCCCCAUGGAGGACUGCAAGCGCCCAACUUGAAGAUGAUGAAAAUCUAUGAAUGUAACAAAUUCGGGUCAGUGCCAGAGGAGAUGCACGCCUCUCUCCCGUCUCUUCAGUCUCUGUUCAUAGAAGGGUGUAAAGAAUUUAAAUCAUUUCUGGAAGAAUCUAAAUUCCCAUCGCUUGAUGAUUUGAGGAUAUACAAAUGCCCAGAAUUUGUGGGUUUCCUCUAUGGAGGAGGACUGCAAGCGCCCAACUUGAAGAGGAUGGAAAUCAAAGAAUGCAAUGAAUUCAGGUCACUGCCAGAGGAGAUGCACGCCUCUCUCCCGUCUCUUCAGUCUCUGUCCAUACUAGGGAGUAAAGAAUUUAAAUCAUUUCCGGAAGAAUCUAAAUUCCCAUCCCUCAAUAAUUUGUAUAUAAUGAAUUGCCCAGAAUUCAGGUCACUACCAGAGGAGAUGCACGCCUCUCUCCCAUCUCUUCAGUCUCUGUCCAUAGAAGGGUGUAAAGAAUUUAAAUUCCCAUCCCUUAAUCAUUUGUGUAUAAUGAAUUGCCCAGAAUUCAGGUCACUGCCAGAGGAGAUGCACGCCUGUCUGUCUCCCUUCUCUUCAGUCUCUGUACAUACAAGGGAGUAAAGAAUUUAAAUCAUUUCCGGAAGAAUCUAAAUUCCCAUCUCUCUCGUAUUUGAAUAUAUGGUAUUGUCCAGAAUUGGAAUCAUUUCCGGAAGGGGGAUUGCCGUCCAAAUUGCUUUCACUCAGAAUCGGGAGUUGUAAAAAACUGAUGGCAAACCGUAUGCGGUGGGGUCUACAAACACUCACCUCUCUCGAAAGAUUGGAUGUCAGCUUCUCAGAAUGUGAAGAAGAAGAAAUUGGCGAAUCAUUUCCAGAAGAGGGGCAGCUGCCAACCACUCUCACUUCUCUCGGAAUCUUCCAGCAUCCGAAUCUGAAAACAAUUGACGGCAAGGCGUUAAGACACCUCAUCUCUCUCAAGGAGUUGAACAUUUUUUUUUGUCCUCGACUCCAGAGCUUGCCAGAUGAAGGGCUACCCACUUCUCUUUCUGGUCUAGAAAUCCGCGAGUGUGAUUUGCUAACACAACGGUGCCGGAGAGACACGGGAGAAGAUUGGGCCAAGAUUUCUCACAUCCCCAAGGUAGUGAUUGAUAACCGAAAGAUAUGAUUUGCAAUGGUACGUAAUUCAUCAACGUGUGUUUAUGUGUUUAUUUACGAUAUGGCUGUGUAAAUUUUAAAUCAUAAACAUGUUUCAAAUGUUAAUGUUCACAUAAUAACAAAUUUUACAGGUACUCUUGUCCCAUAUAAACUUGAAAGUAUUUGCGAUAGAAAGAUACGGAGCUACAAAAAUUCCAAAUCGGUUAGGAGAUGACUUGUUCGUUCUCUCAUCUUGUUACUCUUCGACUUGUGGAUUGUGAACAUUGUUUUUCAAUGCCAGCAUUGGCACAGCUACCAUCUCUCAGAAGGCUUGACACUGAUGGGUUAAAUGGAGUGGAAUUGUUCCUCUUUUCUUAUUGUGUCUUACGGUGGUUCUAUUAUACGACAGUUUGUUGUAUCGAACUAGUCUUCGGUGAAAAAGGAGCUUCAACAAGUCUAUGAGCUCUAGUUUUCGAAUUUCCUUUUUCAAGUUUGUUUCCAAAUUAUGUCUAUUGAGAGGUAGAUUUUGGUACUUUGUAGAAUUCGAAUUCAAAUGUUUGGUUUGUAAAAUAUGGAUGAUGAUUUCAUUUCUGUGGAACUGUGAAUCUAUGAUCAUGCUUGAAUGUUGUCAGACCAUUAUCUAUUCUAAAAUUGAGGAGGGAUUUGACUGUAGCUUAGCUACAGUCAAAUGAUUGACCCUCGAUUUUGCUUUAUUUACAUCACUACCAUUAUAUCUCUGGCUGGGUUGGAAGGGUAAUUAUUACAACUUAGAAGGGUAAUUUUGUCCGUGGGUUUGAACCGAAUUUCACUUUUAUUUACAAAAUUGCCACCGCCUUUUCCUUCCCUCUUUCUCUCUCCCGACUCUCUCUCGGUAACCAUCCAUCAAAUCCCCAUCCUUCCCUUUUCUCACUCUGUAAGUCUCAUUUCCUACAACCCUAGAGCACCGUUUCUCUCUCAUUUCUCUCAAAUUUGACUCAGGGAGAGAGAGGGAAGGGGGACAGAAGGGUUGACAGGUUGGAGGGAGAGGAUCGUCGGGAUUAGGGGAGAGGAUUUUCGGCAGGGAGGUAUGGGUUUAGGGAGAGAGAGAGUAAGGGAGAAGUAUGGGGUAGGCGGAUUUCCAGGGAUUUCUUUUCACCCCUUCACUCACCACGAACCCACCUUUCCCUUCUUUUCUUCCGUCCUCAAAUCUUCUGAUUUCCCUCUCACAAAAUACCCACCAAGGAAACCCUACUUUUGGUUUAUUUUGGGAUUUUGUUUGCGCUCUCGAUUUUCAGACGACGGGCCAAUUGGUUGAUAUUUGGAUUUCUUCUCCUUUUGUCGAAACGCACAAAUUUUGUUUCGGUGGGAUUGGUCUCGAAUAGCUGCGUGUGUCUACCUUUCCAAGGUAUGGUGUUCACCGAUGGCAUGUUUUAGUGUGUUUCUGUUUUUUUUUUCUUUGUUUUGUAUUUCUAAUUUAUCGUUUGCUGCUUGACAAUGGUGAUUGUAUGUUUUAGUUUGGAUGUUUUUCUGAUUUUGGUUUGGUCAGUUUUUUUGGGCUGCUUGAGAAAAUGUGAUCCCAUGUUUUGACUGAGUGAAAUAAUUAAUAGAUAAAAAGAGUGGAGAAUUAGUGUCAAGAGUAGUGAUGGAAAAAAUGAGGAAAAAAAUAUAGAUGUGGAAGAAAAAGGGGGGGGGGCUGGAAAUCGAGCAAGGUGAAGAGAAAAAAAAUAGGGGUUAAGUGAGCAGCCAAAAGAGAAAAAAAAUGAGGGGAAAAGGCUUAAUUUGGGGAGUGGGCAAAAGAGAAAAGCAAGGGAAGGGAGACAGAACAGGAACAAGGUGUGGUUUUGUUGUUGGUUUUAUCCAAAUUUUUGAUUUGGCAUUGGUUUGAAGCUUAUGUGUUAUUAGUAUAGUCUAAUUUAGUGUUGGUUUAUCUAGGUUUGUAGCUAAUUUAAUGUUAAUGUUGAUCUAGGCGUUUUAAUUUGUUGUGAACUUAUAUGAGUUUCGUUUUUUAAUUGUUAUUUUACAGUUGCUAGGGAUGACUUUGGCUUUUAUAUUGGUUUGGGUAUUUUUUUUUUUCAUUUGAAGAUUUAGUGUCAUUAUACACCUUUGCACCACUGUUUGUUCUGUUUUUCUCGGUUUCUGUAUAUAGUUUUGGUACAAUUGGACUGUUCUUUUUAACUUAAUUAAAGUUUUUGAGACUUAAUUGAAUGAAAGUUUAGUGUGUGUUUUGGACUAAUGGUUUUGUGUUGUUAUGUGGGUUUGUGAAGAUGGAUGGAUGUGUGGCUCGGUUGCAGGAGCUGCAGUACACAGUUUCGGGCGGUACGAAGGUGAUCUCAGGAGUGAGUCUCAGCCCUGGGAGUUCUAGAGGUUAUCUCAGGGCUAGCCUCCGAUGCAAACAAGAAACUGCAAGGUAAUUGAGAAUCUGAUUUUAAUUUGAUUUGUACAAACCAGGAACAAAAAAUCCCAGCUUUUGCUUGAAUUUGAAGUUUUUGAUUUUGAUAUUGGAACUGAAAUGGGUCUUUUGAUUUAUGCAGGAUUAAAGGCUCAGCCCCUAGAAAAUCUCCUGUUGGCAAGUUUCCAGCAAAGGCAGGAGGUAUCUCCCUCUCUCUCUCUCUCUCCCUAAAAUCAUAGACGUAUGGCCAAAUGUGUUUUUUGACAAGAAAGUUUAUCCUUCACUUUUUUUCAAAGAACAAAAUUGAGUUUAGAUUCAAAAUCUGAACCUUUUGUUUUUGAAAAUACGACAUUCUAAACAACAGAAGCUCAUUACUUUUUGUUUUUUAAUAAAGCCAUUACCAGUUUCUGAAUUGAUUCUACAUUUUACUCUGUUUUUAUGCCUAAUACCGUUUGUUUUCCAUUGGGUAGCUGUAUAAGUUUUCCAUAAGCUUCGAUCAUCUCCCCAAUAAACCCAGAGCCUCCUUCUCUCCCGCUAAGCAAAAGAAAAUCAAGGAGGCCUGCAACUUCGUUUGCAGUCCGCCACUGCAAAUCAGUCUGGAAACUGGAUUCAAAGGUAAAACACACCGAUGUCUUUGAUUUUGGUCUCUACUGCACAGUUUGACAGACAAAUGAUAAACCUAACACAUGCAUGCUUUGAUUUCCUUGGUAGGUCAUAUUUUUCACUUUCUGGAUGUGCAAAGUCUGGAUAGUACACAUCACCGGACCAAACCUUUAUCAGGUAAGGAAUUCCAUCGCGUUUGUUGAAAAUAUUUGCUUCCUUUCCUCUCAUGUAUGUGUAUGUAUGAUUGUAUGUGUGUGAUUUUAGAUUGUAAUGCAUCACAAAUUUGUGGCAUAAAAAUUGACAUUUGUAGACUUACCCUUUGUUUGGUGACUGUGAUAAUUGAGAGAAAGGAAAAUAAAAUUUCGAAGAUUGAUGCUUUUAUGUGAUUUCUUGGCUCUUUUUUUCAUAUGAUUUUCAUUGUAUGUGUGCCAGUGUAUGUCUCUUCUUGAAAAAUACAUGUUGAAAAUGGGAGAAAAUUUUGGACAUGACACGUUUAGAAGUGAGGUUUUUCUGAAUGAAGACACUUUUAUGAUUUGUUUGUAAUUUGUUUUGCAAAUGGGUAGGAAUGUCAUUCUAAAAGGAUAUUGGCAGGAGAGGGUGGAAUGUCAUUCUAAAAUAUGUGUAAUUCAAUUCUCUCAUUUUCUAUAGCAGAAUUGCGGAUUUCUAAAUCGAAAAGGAGAAAUAAACACUACAGCAGUUUAUGCAGAAGGAGCAUGUAAAAGAGAAGCACAGGUAAAGGUUUAUGAGGUCAGUUUGCUGUUUUCUUUUUAGUGUUUUCAAUUUGUUCCUUUUAGUCUGGCUGCAAUUUUUUAAUCUCUGGUUAUGCAUCAAUUUCUCUGCUUCUUUGUAAAUCUUGCAGGUGAGGACAACACACUUAUCGGGGCAAUGUCGGGAUGUUUAGGCUUGGGUGGAGACAUGGACUUAUGGAAGAGGUGAAGUAGCUUAGGUUUCUGUCAUUAGCUUUAUCUGUUCUAUGCAUCUCUGCAAUCUUACAAUGCUCCUUUAUUUAAUUGCAAGAUGUUGGGGACCGGUUACUGGAAUACAAGAUUUGGAACAAAAGUGGUUGACAAUGCAAGAGUCGAAAGCAAGUGUGAAAUUCACAUUGAAAAUGACAGGUGAGAAUGCUAAUCAUAUUCUAAAAAAAUGUUGGGUUUCCUGAUGAGUUCUCUAGCUGAAUUCAAGAGGCUAAAUUAGUGAUUUGGAGUUAAUUUUGUAAAUUUAUUGAAUAAAGUUAUUUGUUAUUUAGCUUAUCUUGCGUUUGGUUUGGUUUUAGGAGAGGGUUACGCAUGAUCCGUAGCUUCAUUCAACCUCGCUGUUUUCGUUAGAAUCACAAUUAAAGGUCAGUUUUUCCAACAUUUUUUUUGCUUUUUGCUGCAUGUUUGUGCAUGUUUGGUCUCUGAGAUUUUGUUUUUAGUCACUGUUGAUUUGUAGUUUAUGUCUUCCUUUAGCUACAUAUUGACACAUGUUUAUUCUCAGCAUUUUUUUGUUAUGGUAAGUGGUUUGGGGAGUUCUGUAUUAUUAUAUAAUCUUUGGGGCUAUUUUAAGUAAAAAUGAAAUGUUGACAUUGAUAUAGCAUACGGCACACUUAAUUCACACUCCUAUAUUCGGUUUUCAUGUUUCCAUUGCAACACUCUGCAUUUCCGAGCCAAUGAAUUUUUUGAUAAAGAUGUACUUAAAGCAAUUACAUGCUCUAUCAAGUAUGUUUUAUAUGUGGUUGUGGUAGUUGCAAGGAAAUGAAAUAUUUGUGCUGAUAAUUGGUAGUUUAAAUAUAUAGAAAUAGAGAAGAAUUAUAAAUGGAGCACCUAGGAUAUUUAACAUUGUUUUCUUUUCCAUGUAUUUUUUCUCAUGUUUAAUAUCUGCUUUUGCUUAUGCAUAUGAUUCAAGUGCUAUUUUUAUUAGUGUUAAUUUUGGGUUGCAUAUCAACAAACUAACCCAGUUAAUUUUGCUUAGUGUUCAUGUAUAACGAGAACUCUCAUUGCAUCAACUUGAACAAACAUUCUUCUACUUAGUUGCUUAGCUGCUGCAACAAGAACGAAACACUUUUUAUGUGUUUUUGUUUAACUGCUAAAACAGGUGAUUGGCCUCCAGGACAUAUAUUUUGCCAUCUUAACUUUAAAGGCAAUACAUAUGUAAAAUGCAUGUUGCUUAGGGAAACAGAGCAUUUUUUGCAACCACAUCUUUUGUAAUCAGCUUAGUUGAAUGUAUAUAAAAGUUAAGCUACUUAUCUUACCUACACCGAUCACUCAUCUAUCAUUUUUGUUCGUUCAUGAUUAUGUUGAAUUUUUUUUCAGGUUAAAUGUGUCUUAUUCAUGUAGUUAAGGAUGGUGCAUUCAAGUCCCGCAGCAACGCGCGGGCAUUUUUCUAGUAGUAUCGAAAACCCUCUGUUGUUUACCAAUCGAUCUCAAGCGGUCUAGAUUCGAUUUGUUUAAUUAGUACUGCAAGAUGAUCUUAUCUACUAAUCAUGUCUUAUCAAAUGAUUACCAUUUCAUCAUGCCCUUAGGGAUGCAUAGAGCUUCAAAAGUUUUCAAGUUGCUGCGCAUGUGUAGGUUUGAAGUCGUGCAAUGAUAUGUACGCGAAACUUAUGAGCAAACAAAAGCAAACAACUCUUAUACAUAAAUGUCGGCUGCCAGAAAAUCUCAGUAGUACCAGAGAAGAUAAGCUUGUAAUAAAUUUCUAAUUCUCAAAACAGAGCAAACAAGAGAAACAAGAUCUACAUAUAAGUACCCCUAGUUGGCCGGCACACAGGAUUUCUUUUACGAGCAUGUUCUUCAUUAUGGUGCUGUGUCCGACAUGCAUAUCCAUACCAGCAAUUUUCCCUGUUUGAUGCCUCUGUGGGUAGAUGAUAUUUGGGAAUCGAAAUCCGAAACCAGUACAAGAGGAAGGAGAUCAGCUUCUCAUAACAGUAAUUGCACGUAGGUGUCCCAGAAGUUAUUGCCUCAGCAUGAUUCAGGGGCAUCCUCGUUCGAUCAAUUUCUCUGUUGUUCAACUUUGCAAGCCAUUCUGCAAUAACAUCCUGUGAUGUUCUCCCCAACUGUACAGUACACUUCUCAGUGAUCACUUGUUCAUGUCGAUUGUUUUCAUGAGUUGAAGUAGGGAUUCCAGAGAUGGUCCAUUCUGAGAUUGGUUUAAAAGUCUCGCGACUGCACACAUGGUGAGAAUCACUUUGUGAAACCCCUUGCGCAUGCCAAUAUAAACUGCAAAAUGCCUUAUCACAUCCUAAACAGUGUUGAGGUACACUUAUUGGUGCACGAAGGCAUCAUUCCUCCGCAUGCUUGACAUUGCAGAUGGAUAGUGGUUUGAUUGCAGCGGAACGCACCAUAUUCAGUACCACAUUGAGGGCAUGGAUUUGAUGGAUUAUGAGCUUCUUCAUCCACCUGGGAGCGAGCCCUUUUUCUGCGAAGAUGUUUUCCAGAGUUUACGACAAUAUUAGAUUGUAUUGUUGCAUAAGAGUCUAAAAUUGCCACUUCAUCAUUGGUGCGUUUUAGUGAAUAGAAGAGAACAAGAUCUCUGAGCAAACUACAAUCUCAUAUGAAAUAAUUUCAACAUCCGGAUAUCUCAAGUCUGAUGGAACGAGCUUGGCCCAGAAUUCUUCACAGGGUUUUGCACCCGAGCUCUCUCCAACUUCUGCCAUCCCUUGAAUAUAUUCACAAAGGACCCAGAAACCAUUAAUUUAGAUCUCAAAGAUAAGUAACCGGCCAUUGUUAUGUUCAUUUAAAAAGAAACAAGUACUUAUAUAUUCAACUAUUUAUGAGCAACAGAGCAAUUUUAAUUUCUAAUUAUCGAACAAAAUCUUUACCGCUAAUUAGAUAAUUCAUCCAAGUACGAAAAGAAAACAGAUUUGCACUCAAACAAGACAGAUUCAUGAAAUAUGCUAUGGUAACGCCCCUAACAUUUCAACACCGAUAAACAUAUCAACUUCAUGUUUCAGACAUCCUACAACUACAUAUAUUAGAUCGUAACAAUUCCAACUAAAUGUAAAAGCUCUUAAAGACCUAGUUUGGGAGUGAGGUGCUUAAAAAAAAAACACCUAUGAAAAAAAGCUGUGAGGGUUUUAGGUGUUUGGUAAACUGAAAAAAAAGGGCUUAUUUUGGAAGCUGCUGUGAGAAUAAGCUGAAAUCAAAGGAAAAAGCUGAAGUUGCUAUUUGCAGCUUUGGAAAACUGGCUUUUUUUCAAAGCACACGGAGCUACAAUGCUCCUUUAAUGAAAAGACCCACUAUCAGACUGAUUUUCUUUCCAAAAGCACUUUUACAAAAAAGUUUACCAAACGCUCUGUUGAUUUAUUUCACAGCCGCUUAUUCUCACAGCACAGCCGCUUAUUCUCACAGCAGUUUUUUUUCAAAGCACAGCAAUACCAAACCACUCAAAGCAUAACGACAUACUAGCAAAAUUCAUGGAAGAUAGUAAGUGCCAAUUAACAAGAGAGUCAAAAAGGCUUGAGGAGAAGGGGUCCCCAGCAGCGGCAUCAUUUCUGGCCGGAAAAGGUUCAUUCUAGUAAUAUAAUUUAUACCACAGAACACAUACAAACAGAUUUAAGGAGACACAAUUGUCAUUCUAAAAGAGACACUUUCUCAAUUCUUGAAUUAAAACCUGGACUCCAAGAUUGCAAAACCACAGAAUGUGGUCCCCUUUACAAAAAUGUAUAUCAUGUUUACUCUAUGUUCAUAGUUUGAACCUUCGUUUAUGCAAUCUCGCUCUUGUUUUUGUUCUCUUGUAUGACCUAAUUUUCACACAAUUCUCACCGGAAAACCAAUAGAAAUAUUUAUGAAAAUUGAUAGGUCUCACUUGGAAAUUGUUUCAAAAACCCUAACAACAAAAAUGAAAAGUUUGCAACUUUGGCCAAUAAACAAUCAAACGUGAAAAGAAUUUGAAACUUAUCUAUUUCUAAACACGUUUAUAACAUCUUAAGAGACGCGCAAUGUUGGUGAUAAAAAAGAUCAUUCACAUGCGGAUAAUAAUGUGAUUAAAUUAAUUGUCAAAUGACUGUUUUUUUUAAACGAUAUUAUCGAUACUAAGGGGGAGAGGUGUGUUUAGCCUCACAAUGGGCUAGCAACAAUGUGAUUCAAUCAGUUGUUUAUUAAAUAUUAUUUUAUCUAUUUUAAACACGUUCAAAAUAUCUUAAGAGGCAUGUAAUGCUGGUUAUAAAAAAAGUAUUUCGCACGAGGAUAAUAAUGUGAUUAAAUUAGUUGUUAAAUGAUUUUUUUUAACAAACGAUAUUAUUUACACUAAUGGAGAGGGGUGGGCUUAGUCUCACAAUGAGCUAGCAAUAAUGUGAUUCAAUCAAUUAUUUAUUAAAUAUUAUUUUCUCUAUUCUUAAUGUAAAUUCUAUAGAGACCGAUUUUAUUAUGUGAAUUCAGCUGGUUUAAUUGGUUUAUGAAGGGUUUCUUCUAGCAUGAUCUAAGAUUAUUCAUUUACUUCAAAUAUUUAACUUUCAUUUUGUCAAUUUACACACAAUAUAUACAUUUAAAAAACGUGUAAGUCGUGUAUAGCACGUCGUGAUUCAAAAAAUAUCCUCUGCACGUGCGUAAGCAUAUGCACGGAGGCUAGUAUAUACUAAAGUGGAAUGAGAAAAACAUUGUUCAUAAGAAACAAUGUUUUGACGUUUUUGCCCUCAUUUUUAGUGUUUCUGUGUUCCUAGUUUUUGUGCUGUUGAAAUCCCCACAUUACCAUAUAGGCAUACGUGUGUACGGAAAAAUGUUUUUCACGCGUGGCAUAAGGAAAUUUUCUCUGCAGCACCGUGUUAUUCCCCUGGGAGUCUGCAGCACCGCUCAACCAAAUUUUCUCUCAUUCCGUACUUCUCCACCUCUUCAAUCGUGCUGCACCGUGAAUCGAAACAAAAAACUGCUCUUCCAAAUCAAUUUCAGUUAACUCAAAUCCCUAAAACCCAAAUUUCUCCAGACCAUUGGAAUCAGUUUGCCUUUGUUGUUGCUAAUCUACAGGUAAAGCUUAAAUUUACAUACAAUUUUUAAUUUUUCUUGAUUGGAAUUUGGAAAGAAUUACAGAAAAUUGGCGAUGUCCACCGAGUCGGAUGCGUGGUGGAGACUCGGAUGCUCGCUUCCCUGACGUCACUACGCAUCGAUAAACGCACAUCAUUUCCGACUACGUCACUUCUUUCUCUCGCCUCCUUUUCAUGGUUAGCUCCUCCUCCGUAUUUACUCAACGCCUAAUUUUGGCCUUUUUUUCUUCCUUCACUGAUUUGUUCUAGAGAUCGCAGAUUGUUGAGUCAGAGAAGAGGUACAUUUCCAUUUGGGGUUUUUUCCCAAUUGAUUGAUGCUGUAUUAAUUUGGAAUUUGCCCAAUUGGGGUUUGAGAUUUUUGGUUUAUAUGGUUGUUUUGAACUUUUGAGAAAACCCUUAUUUGUUUUAUUUUUUAAGAAAAUUAAUGAAAAUGAUUUGAAAUCUUUGAAUUUUAGAAUAAGAACAAAAUAAAGGGUAAAGGGAACAAUAGCAAGAUUGACUUUUUAGUGUAAAAAUGUAAUUUUUCGUUAAAGUGAACAAUAUCGAGUAUUUUUUGUUCUUUAAGAGGGGAAUAAUGAUAUGAUCUGUAAUUAGUGAUUAGCUUAAUCACUUAUUCUUGGGAUUAUUAGGCUUAUUCAUGUUUUAGUGGAGUUUGUUAUAACUGCUAGCUGGCAUGAGGAGUCAUGACUGGUAUAAGAGCACUAGUUCUGAGUAUUGUAAUCAGAUCAGAAUUUACAACAAAGAAAAUAAAUACAAAAAUAUUUGGAGCUCUGCUCCUUCAUCUCUCCUUCCCUCUUCUUCCAUAGCUUUCUUGUGCUACUUGCAGGUUGAUUAAGGGAAUUGAGAAUUGGGUCUUAUCAUAGUGGAUCUUGACGAGCGGGCGGGCGGGCGGGCGAGCGAGCCAAGACUUAGUGGUUUAAGCUGGAGAGGUUUAUUUGGAAGAACCAAAGCCGUUUGAGCCGAUGCUGUAGCAGAUUGAACCGGUUCUACGCAGACCUCGCCAAAUCUCAGCCAUCAGAUUGCUGUCCGGACGAUCGCACACUUUGUCCGCAACUUAGACACGCCCUUGCAGUUAUAGCACCAAGGUGGGCCUGGGAGCAAACGGCUGAGAAGAAUUGAACAGAAAUUGGGCCAAACAGGAGCAAAGCGCUGCGCCAGUUGCUGUGGAAGGGAAUGUUGCUGAUGAUGCUGGACUGGGCCCGCAUAAUUCAAGGGCUGCGCUAGAUGCUCAAGCUGCUCGGCAGAGGGAUGCCAGGUUCCACGACCAACACCGCGUGAAUUAUUGUUAAAAUUUCCAUUUGCAAAGAAAAGAUUGAUCAUGGCGUUGAAGAUUUUUGCUUCUGCAGAUCCUCCUGGGUCUUUGAUUAGUUGUUAUACAUUCUCUUAACUCUGUCACAAAAUUUCCAUUUGCAAAGAAAAGAUUGAUCAUGGCGUUGACGGUGGUAGGUGGGGCCGCUCUCUCGGGUUUCUUCCAGCAAGUAUUUGUGAAGUUGGAUUCUCAGGAGGUCAGGAACUUCAUCAGAGGAAAGAAACUGACUGAUGGGUUGCUCAAGAAGUUGAGGAUCAAGUUGAUGUCUGUCAGUGCUGUUUAUGAUGAUGCCGAGCAAAAGCAAUUACGUAACCCACAUGUGAGGCUGUGGCUGCACGAGCUUAAAGAGGCCGUCCUUGAUGCUGAGGACCUACUGGACGAGAUCAAGACAGAAGCGUUGAGGCGGAAAAUUGAAGCUGAAUUUGGAAGUAGCACAAGCAAGGUACAAGACCUCAUCUCUGCUUCUUUCCAUGCUUUUGAUGAGUCUGUAGACACCAAGAUAGAGGAAAUUCUUGAGAGGCUAAGCUUCAUUGUAGAACAAAGAGAUGCCCUUGAUUUGAAAAGAGGUAGUAGACACAAAAUCUCACAAACAUUGCUUUCAACUUCUUUAGUAGAAGGCUCUGAUGUGUAUGGAAGAGAUCGUGAGAAGGAAACCAUCAUUCAACUAUUGUUAUCAAAUGAUGUCACUUGUAGUAAGAUUGGCAUUAUUCCCAUUGUGGGCAUGGGUGGGAUCGGAAAGACCACCCUUGCUCAGCUCUUAUACAAUGAUGAUAGAGUGCAGCAGCAUUUUGAGCUCCAGGCAUGGGUUUGUGUUUCUGAUGAAUUUGACGUUGUUAAGAUCACACAAACAAUUUAUGCAUCAGUCACUUCACGAACCUGUGAUGACCUAAACCAGCUUCAGGUCAAACUCAAAGAUGCUUUGGCGGGGAAGAAGUUUCUUUUUGUUCUUGAUGACGUUUGGAAUGAGAAUUACAAUAUUUGGGAAUCCUUAAGGCGCCCCUUCGAGUCUGGAGCUCAUGGAAGUAAGAUCAUUGUCACCGCAAGGAAUGGUGGUGUUGCAUCUACGAUGGGUACUCUUCAAACCCACUAUUUAAAGCACUUACUUGAGGAAGACUGUUGGUCUUUAUUUGCAAACCAUGCCUUCAAAGAUGCAAGUGUUAUUGUAGAUCCAAAUCUGGAGGUAAUUGGAAGACAAAUUGUGAGCAAGUGUAAAGGCCUUCCUUUAGCUGCAAAAUCGCUCAGUGGUCUCUUACGCUCUGAAUCAAAUGUGGAGGAAUGGGAAAAUGUGCUCAAAAGUGACAUAUGGGAGUUGUCAGAUGCAAAGAUUGACAUUUUGCCGGCUCUAUGGCUAAGCUACCAGUACUUGUCUCCGGAGCUAAAGCGUUGUUUUGCUUAUUGUUCGACAUUUCCCAAAGAUUAUUUAUUUGACAAGUCUAAAUUAAUUUUGUUGUGGAUGGCCGAAGAUCUUAUACAACCCCAAAAGAAGACUAGGUUGGAAGAUGUUGGAAAGAAAUACUUUGAUGAUCUAAUCUCACGGUCAUUUUUUCAAUACUCGUCUUCAAAUGAUUGUUUCAUCAUGCAUGAUCUGAUGCAUGAUUUGGCGACUUACGUAUCUGGAGAAUUUUGCAUUAGAUUGGAAGACCACAACUUCUCAUUGGACGUUGUGAGCAAGGGUCGUCAUUUUUCUUAUAUGCAAUAUUCAUCUAAUGUUGAUUAUGAGAGAUUUGACACUAUUUAUGAAGCUAAGUAUCUGCGCACCUUCAUUCUUGGCAAUCACUUUCCAUCGCCGAAAGUACGACUUGAUCUCCUUUUAGUGCUACAUUGUUUAAGAGUUCUCAAACUACGUGGGCAUGAUAUCACGGAGUUGCCUGAUUCGAUUAGCAACUUGAAGCAUCUACGGUACCUUGACUUGUGGUUCACUCCAAUCCAGAAAUUACCUGACACCGUAUGCAGUUUGUAUAAUUUACAAACGUUGUUGUUGUCAAAUUGUAUAUAUCUAGCUGAGUUGCCCACCGAUUUGAGAAGACUUAUCAACUUGCGCCAUCUUGAUUUCAGAGGUACAAAAUUAAAAAUGAUGCCCCCCCACAUGGGCAAGUUGAAAGAUCUCCAAACAUUUGAAGGUGAGUUUGUCUUGAGCAAAGAUGCCGGGGGAAACAUUGAUGAGUUAAAGGGGUUUCAGCAUUUGAGUGGAAAUCUUCAUGUGUCAGGGCUUCAAAAUAUCAAACGUGCUGAGGAUGCUUUGGAGGCCAAACUGAGGGACAAGAAGCUUAGUGACAUACGUUUGAAAUGGGAAGGUGACACUAUCGAUUCUGAAAACGAUAGCCGAGUGCUGGGCAACCUGCACCCCAAUACAAACCUAAAAGUACUGGUUAUAGAAGGAUACGGAGGUACAAAGUUUCCAGGUUGGUUAGGAGAUGAGUCUUUCUCUAACCUCGUCACUAUCCGACUUGAGACUUGUGGAUAUUGUUUCUCCUUGCCAGCAUUGGGGCAGUUACCCUCCCUCAAAAGGCUUGAAAUUUAUGGGUUAAAUGGAGUGGAAUCAGUGGGGUCUGAGUUUUAUGGGGGAAUUAAACCUGCAUUUAAAUCUCUAGAGUUUCUGAGUUUCUGCAGUAUGCGGGAAUGGCAAGAGUGGUGUUUCCCUGGAGGUGAAGAAGAAGAAGGCGGACAUUUUCCUAAUCUUUGCGAGCUUAGUCUGGAGAACUGUCCCAAACUAACGGGGAAAAUACCGUUAUACUACUUCCCAAGACUUGAGCGGCGUACGUUUGGAGGAAGUUAAUAUCGAAUCCCUUGCUUGUUCGCAAGAAUGCAAUAAAUUCAAUAUUGAACUCCCAUCCCUCCGUGAGUUGAAAAUAUCAGAUUGCCCGAAUCUGGUAUGUUUUGUGGGUGGUGGAGUGCUGCUUGCGCCCAACUUGGAGGAGAUAACUAUUUGCCAUUUUAAGAACUUGUGGUCAGUGCCCGAAGAUAUGCAAAUCUCGCUCCCAUCUCUUCCGUCUCUGUCCAUACAAGGGUGUAAAGAAUUUAAAUCAUUUCCGGAAGAAUCUAAAUUCCCAUCCCUCGUUGUUUUGAAGAUACAGGGAUGCCCAGAAUUUGUGGGUUUCCCCCAUGGAGGAGGACUGCAAGCGCCCAACUUGAAGGAGAUGGAAAUCAAAGAAUGUAACAAAUUCAGGUCACUGCCAGAGGAGAUGCAAAUCUCUCUCCCAUCUCUCGAGUCUCUGUGUAUAAGGGAUUGUCCAGAAUUGGAAUCAUUUUCGGAAGGGGGAUUGCCGUCUAAAUUGCGUUUUCUCAGUAUCUGGAGUUGUAAAGAACUGAUGGCAAACCGUAUGCGGUGGGGUCUACAAACACUCACCUCUCUCAAAUACUUGGAUGUCAGCUUCAGAGGAUGUGAAGAUGAAGAAAUUGGCGAAUCAUUUCCAGAAGAGGGGCUGCUGCCAACCACUCUCACUUCUCUCGGAAUCUACAAUCAUCCGAAUCUGAAAACCAUUGACGGCAAGGCGUUAAGACACCUCAUCUCUCUCGAGAAGUUGGAGAUUUAUUAUUGUCCUCAACUCCAGAGCUUGCCAGAUGAAGGGCUACCCACUUCUCUUUCUCGUCUAGAUAUCUUCCCAGUGUGAUUGCUAAAACAACGGUGCCAGAGAGACACGGAAGAAGAUUGGGCCAAGAUUUCUACAUUCCCAACAUAACGAUUUCUGGCCGAAAGAUAUGAUUUGCAAUGGUACGUAAUUCGUCAACGUGCGUUUAUGUGUUUAUUUACGAUCUGGCUGUGAAAAAUUUAAAUCAUAAACAUGUUUCAAAUGUUAAUAUUCUCGUAAUAACAAAUUUUACAGGUACUCCAGUCCCAUAUAAACAUGAAAGUAUUUGCGAUAGAAACAUACGGAGCUACAAAAAUUCCAGAUGACUCGUUCAUUCUCUCAUCUUGUUACUCUUCGACAUGUGGAUUGUGAAUAUUGUUUUUCAAUGCCAGCAUUGGCACAGCUACCAUCUCUCAGAAGGCUUGAAACUGAUGGGUUAAAUGGAGUGGAAUUGUUCCUCGUUUCUUACUGUGUCUUACGGUGGUUCUAUUAUACCACAGUUUGUUGAACGAACUAGUCUUCGGUGAAAAACGAGCUUCAACAAGUUUACGAGCCCUAGUUUCCGAAUUUCCUUUUUCAAGUUUGUUUGCCAAAUUAUGUCUAUUGAGAGGUAGAUUUUGGUACUUUGUGGAAUUCGAAUUCAAAUGUUUGGUUUGUAAAAUAUGGAUGAUGAUUUCGUUUCUGUGGAACUGUGAAUCUAUGAUCAUGCUUGAAUGUUGUAAGCCCAGAGUAUCGAAAACCCUCGGUUGUCUACUAAUCGAUCUCAAGCGGCCUAAAUUCGAUUUGUUUAAUUAGUAUUGCAAGAUGAUCUUAUCUACUAAUCAUGUCUUUAUCAAAUGAUUACCACUUCAUCAUGCCCUCAGGGAUGCACAGAGCUUCAAAAGUUUUCAAGUUGCUUCGCAUGUGUAGGUUUGAAGUCGUGCAAUGAUAUGUACGCGAAACUUAUGAGCAAACAAAAGUAAACAACUCCUAUGCAUAAAUGUUGGCUGCCAGAAAAUCUCAGUAGUACCAGAGAAGAUAAGCUUGUAAUAAAUUUCUAAUUCUCAAAACAGAGGAAACAAGAGAAAGAAGAUCUACAUAUAAGUGCCCCUAGUUGGCCGGCACACAUGAUUUCUUUUAUGAGCAUGUUCUUCAUUAUGGUGCUGUGUCCGACAUGCAUAUCCAUACCAGCAAUUUUCCCUGUUUGAUGCCUCUGUGGGUAGAUGAUAUUUGGGAAUCGAAAUCCGAAACCAGUACAAGAGCAAGGAGAUCAGCUUCUCAUAACAGUAAUUGCACGUAGGUGUCCCAGAAGUUAUUGCCUCAGCAUGAUUCUGGGGCAUCCUCGUUCGAUCAAUUUCUCUGUUGUUCAACUUUGCAAGCCAUUCUGCAAUAACAUCCUGCAAUGUUCUUCCCAACAGUGCAAUACAUUUCUCAGUGAUAACUUGUUCAUGUCGAUUGUUUUCAUGUGCGGAAGUAGGGAUUCUAGAGAUGGUCAGUUCUGAGAUUGGUUUAAAAGUCUCGCGAAUGCACACACAGCGAGAAUCACUUUGUGCAACCCCUGCGUGCCAAUAUGUACCACAAAAUGCCUGAUCACAUCCUAAACAGUGUUGAGGUACACUGUUAUUACUUCAUGAGGCGUCAUUCCUUCGCAUGCUUGACAUUGCAGAUGGAUAGUGCUUUGAUUGCAAACCCCACCAUAUUCAGUACCACAUUGAGGGCAUAGAUUUGACGCAGUACCAGCUUCAUCAUCCACCUGAGGGCGAGCCCUUAUUCCUUGAAGAUGUUUUCCAAAGUUUACAAUUCAGAUUAUAUCGUAUUGUCGCAUAAUAGUCUAAAAUUUCCACUUCGUCAUUGGGGCAAAAAAUCCGCUUUUAGUAUUUCCUCCGCAAUGUUGAGCAAGAAGUGAUCAUUUACUACAAUAUCUUCUCAUUGUGUUUUGUUCUAAUAGUUGUCCUAUUUGUUUCUUUUGUCUACCGUACUUUAAACUACCAUCACGAACAUACGAAAUUACUGUCUAUAGAGCUUUUCGGUUUUCUGGUAUCUGUUACAGCUUAAUACUAGAAAAAUUGCCCCCGCUCUGCUGUGGGGUUUCAAACUAUAAUUGACAACAGCCAUGAAUAAUAUUCAUAGAAAAAUUCACUCAAAAGGCAGCAGCAACACAAUCGCAUUCUCAAAUGCAGCAAUUUAGACAACGCACAUUUUACUUGAGUAAUUCCCACAAAAUCACAAAUUAACAGUCAUCUCCAAAUAAUUGAAAAAUCAAGAGAUAGGUGAAUCGAUACGGUAAAAUAAGCAGUUCAAUUUGAUUUUACAUUCUAUUAAGUUAACAUCAAGAGCCAAUAUAUUUAUGGUUAUGGUUUUCAAUCAGUGUUUUAUUGUCUUCUUUUUAAAUUAGUGGUUCUUUUCAAAUACAAAGUUUAGUCUUCUUAGCAAAGUCAUUAUUUUUUAUAGUGGUUGGUUGAAAUAAAGAGGUAGUAUGAAAUUGUGACCAUUAGACAAUAGUAUGGCUGUGAUCUAAUAGUAAAUGACCUUAAUUUCACACAUAAGUUUGGUUUCAAACUUACUACAUAAAAACAAUGUCAACUUGCAAGACACUAUAUGAACUGGCUGGAUAGCUAGUUGAAUAAGCUUGUUCCCCUGUUUUCCCUUUCUUUUGAGUAAUUUCCUCCUUCCCCUCCCUCCCCCCAAACCAUCUUCAUCCCAUUUUGCACUUUCCCAAAAGCCUUUUCUCUAUCCCCGUCUUCACUUUAUCACAUGCUUUUUUAUCCUAGCCAUAAUUAGACUAAUGGGAUUUAUACCUAGAGACUAAUGUGCUUUUUCACAUGCUUUUUUCUCUCAAAAUUUAUAGAAAUAUGAAAAUGAUCAUCACAAAUUUCAAAUCCUGCAAUAACCUAAAUUAAAACAAUUAUUCAAAUUCCUAAAUUAAAACAGCAUUUAGAAGCACUAUAAACUCAAAUCACAAACAUCAACAACAUGGUGAGAAUGAAGCUUUAUCUUAUAGAAAAUGAUAAAUCUUUCUCAACCAAUAUGCUAAAAAUGUCCACCACCAGUAUAUAAUAAAAAAACAGAAGGCUAACUUCAUCACAUAGCACCACCUUUAAACGCAUUUCUUUCAGAAAUUAAAUUAAGAAAAAAUUUGACAUUCACAUGCCACUCAUUAAGAAACUAAUACUAACUGAAGUUGUAUAUUGUAAAAUGCAACCGCUUUUAGAAUUCCUAAGUCAUAUCUGUUAGCAAGAAACCCAUACUAACUCAAGUUGUAUAGUGUAAUAACGCAACUGCAAAAAGACCAAGCUUCUGCUACUAAAAAGCUUUUACAAAAUCAUAAAACUCUUAACAGUUUGAACCCUACCGGAAAGUUUAUAUGAGUUGAAGAACAGUUGUACUUAAGUGCAGCAAGAUCAUAACCUCUUGCAGUUUCUCCUCCAUGUCAAAACCACCUGCAGUCCAAAUUAAGAAAGAUUCAAUGCCAGAUCAAGAACAAAAUAGUAAUAAUUUAAACUAAAAUCCUUAAUUAUUGUUGCAGAGAGAAUUCAUAUCAAGAUUAACUACAAUAUUUAAUUCGAACGGAAUCCAAAAGUAGCAUAAAUAUGAAAGGUAAAAAAUUAAUAGCAAAAGUCACAUUUCAGCAGCGAUUAAUAGCAGAAAUCAAAGUUCAGUGGCAGGGACCAAAUAAACCUCUGGAUUUCAGACUACUUAACAAAUUAGACAAACACAUAAUCCAAUUUCAUCUUUUUCCACUCAUUUUUUUCUUGCAACACUGUUGGGCACCAAACAUCACCAAAACCGAGCUCGCUGACACAUAAAUAAGCUACCGUACACUUUUUGAUGAGGUUGGCAGAGAGCUCAAUUUAGUGGCGCUCGUACCCUUUGAAUACGUCGCUCGUCUUUCCCUAAGUUUCUCUCUGCAUUCAACCCAUCACACAAUUUCAACAAUAAUUCAGUUUGAACGAUCUGAAAUCAAUGGAAUCGGAAGUAAAUACCUAUUUCGAUCGGAGAUUUGAAUGGAUCGCCGGAGACGAUGGCUGAAGAGCAGUGGCGGGUGUUUAUUUUUUGUUCUAGGUGGUGGUGGCGGCGGCUUGCUGUCGAAGCGAUUGAAACGGAUGGAAACAACAAUGUGCGCGAAAGGAAACCUCUCUCUCUACAUGUGACCCUUCCUUUCACCGCCAAAAUAAAGCAUCAAAACACCUUGGUUGCUCCUGUUAGAAGAGCCUUACUUGCUACUGUUCAGUGCCCCCACCCCUCCCUCUUUCUCUCUGCCUCUGCAACCCGCCUCUCUCUUUCUAUUUUUGCCUUACCGAAUGUCAGACCAUCCUCAGUCAAUCAUGUCAGUGGAAUCCUCACAAAAUCCCUCACUCAAUCGGGUCAGUGAUAACCUCCCUCAAUUUCCUCCCUCACCCUCGGCAACACCACCACUCUCCCAAACCUGAGAAUGACCAAAAUACCCACGCAAUUUCCAAUCCGAUGCGUCGGAUUUAGAAAGUAGAUAGGAUAAAAUAGGCAUUUGACGUUCAGGGCUUUAACCCAUUCAAUGGUCACCAUCGAAGCCCACUUCGGGCCCAAAACCAACAGCCCUAAAAGACCCAAAUUAUGGUCAGCGGUAGAGAUGUAAAUAUUCAGCCAAAUCUGAUGGCAUUAUUGUAAGUAACGUGAAAUAGAGGGGCAAAAACUUGACUGUAGCUACAGUCAAAUUCUUCCUCAGUUUUAGAAUAGAUAAUGUUGAGCCUAUGACAGCCAAAAUACAUAGCUUGUUUUCUGUUGAGACGCUUCUCUCAUAUCUGGCCAAUUAAUGAAGAGCAAACUACGACACCAUUAUUCAAAAUUUGACAAAGUGAAGUUUUCCUCUAGGAAUCUUCACCUUUCAAGCUAUAUAUUUUCUGGUUCUCAAUUCUUACAAUUUUCAUUGUUUUGUUGCUAACUUGUUUACUCACCGCUAUUCAAAAUUUGACUCUUUCUUUUGCGCUAAGUUGAUUUGCCCUGAAAUUUGCUAAGAUUGCUCAAACGUAUUUCUUUUACAAUUUUCUCUUGUGUUUGCUUUAAUCGCGUACUGACGUUGGUGAUUGAGAAAAUGACAUUGUUGAUGUCAAUGCUCAACUUUACUGUUUACUUUUUGUAUAGCUAAGUUUAUUGUAGCUCGAGAUACGUUCUUUAUAUGUGAGUAAGUCUUCCACCAAAUCAGAAACUAAAGCGUUUUAUAUACGUUGAAACGUGAUUGGAAGAUGCGUUGUCAUCCAUUCUUUUCGAUUUCCUGUGCUUGAGUUAUAUUAUUUCCUCCAUGAUUUGAAGUCGUUUCCGAAGUAUAUUUAUUGGGAUUUUGAGAUGCGCGUUCUGGUACUUUUUGGAAUAUGACUUGAAACUUUCAGAGCAAGCGCAAACCAGAGUUUACCGUUCUAAUUCCUCUUUUGAUUAUACAGUUAUAUUCUCAAUUGUCAUUACCUCGAGAUUACUUGGUAAUGACGUGAUUACACAGUUAUAUUCUCAACUUGCUAUUACCUCGAGAUUACUCGGUGGUAGUGACAUGAUUACACAUUUAUAUUCUCAGCUUGUCAUCAUCUCGAGAUUACUCGACAAUGACAUAAUUAGAUUUCAGCUUACACUAGUUACGGCUAGUGUAUGAUUUUGUAUGCAUGUAAGAUAGUGUCAGAGACCCAUUAAGUGUGGUCCUUCGGGGAUGCAAUAAAUGUGGUUACUUGCAGGUGUUUUAAUUUGGGCUUAUCCCUAUUUCGGUAGAUUUUAAUAGUUGAAAACUUGAGUUAUGACUUUAUGCAUAUUAUGGAUUCGUCACCAAUCCACGUGAUGGCCAGCUGAUAGGAUUUUUAGUAUUUGCAUAAAGAGGGUUAAAAAUCAUACAAAAUACUUGUAAGAGAACAAGGUAGUUGUAGUAAAAAUGCUCAUGUAAGGUCGUUCCCACAAGGAUUAUCUAAAACAAUUUAUGUAAAAAUAAAAUCUUAGUUAAUUAUUUGAAAACAAAGUUUGAAAAGAGUGGUUUUUCAAUCUAAAUAAUAAAAACGAAUUUAAUAAAAGUAAUUGAGGAAAAUCAACAAGAAAUUAAUUUUAAAGAAAUCAAAUUAAAAAGAAAUGGCCUUGAGAAAUAGAUUUGUAAAAGCAUUAGGGUUCCACUGUCAUCUUAACAACUCUUUGUAGAUUCACUAAUUACUUAUGAAUUACACAUGCAACUUUGAAUGUUAGGUUUUCCUAAUGCAUAUUUAACUUGUGGCAUUCAAGAUAGAACGUAUAUCAAACAUGCAAUCCGUCUAUAGCAUUCAUAUCAAAUAUAAACAUGCAUGACUCAUUAUGUUUUGUGAAAACCCUUUGAAAAAUCAUGCUACCUUUAAGACAUGGCAUUCGCCCUAAUUGACUUACAAUUAUUAAUCAUAAGAAGCAUUCCUCAAUUUCAAGGUGACAUUCCAACAUAAAUUGCGUCUGAUUGCUUAUCUAAACAUUCUAAUGGUAGCAAAGCAUUAAAACAUAGAGACUAUUUAAAUGCAGUGAUUAAUAAUUCAAAGCAUGCAUACAUAAUAUCAUAAGCAAUAAAAUAAAAACCACAUAUUCAUGCUAAGGCUAAUGGCCCCACCCUAGCAAAAGAAAGUUAAUUAUGCAUAUUCAACCAAAAGAGUUUUAUUGAAAUAGAAAAAGAGUGAAAACACCUUGUAGAAUAAAGUUUGAAAAUCUCUUAAACUUUGGCCAAAAUUCUCUCUCAUAUAUCACGUUGAAAAGAAGAACAUAGGGCCGGCCACAAUGGCUUAUUUAUACUACUUAGAAAAUCCAAUCCUUCCUAGAAAAUGACUUAAAAUAAAAUUAGGAGACCAAAUAAAUUGAAAUAAAUUAGAAAACAUAAUCCUAAAUUGACUAGGAUAAUCAGCUCAAAAUCUGCACAACGACGUUUUGGAUCCAAAUCUCCUCCAAAAGUGGCCCAAAAUAGCUGGAUUUAAAGUUUCAAAUAAUCUGAACACUUCUCCAGAAGGUCAUGAACCCAACAGAGGUCAUCUUAGGCUCAUAAAAUCGUAAUUAAGCCAAAAAAGUCACUUUUCAGCAUCACGCAUUGCUUUUUUAUUUCAUCGCUAGAAAAUAACCACUUGGUAGAAAAAAACCAAAAUUUUGACACGAACGAGCUAAAGGACUCACGAACGUCCUCCAAUUUGAAUCAAUUUAAAAUUCACCCGUUUGAUCACGUUUUGCUCCAAAGGAUGUCAAAUGUUUUAUAUUGAAAAUAUAAAGUUAAGUAUCAAAAUUAUACCAAAAUAAUUACCAAAACAUACUAAAAUAGGAUAAAAUAUAUAAUAUGACAGACCAAAAAGCUAUAUGGUAGGUGUGCCUGCUUUGUGACUAAAGUUCGCUCUGCUUUUGACCAAAGGCUCCUCCAUGCCUUGUGAGAUUUCCAAUCAGCUUCCAGCCGCCAUAAUACGGCACUAUUAGUAUUGUAUCAUUAUAUCUAUACGAAAACUUCAGUUGAUGGGACACGGUUUACCAACAGUGAUUUCACGAAAAUACCUUUGGUUUUUCUUCCCUUUCCUGCUUUGCUUUUUAAUCUUAAACAGCGGAUUUACAAAUUUCCCCUUACUAUUUGUUGGCUGGGGGUGCCACUACCUCUUAGAAGAUACCUGUUUGUUCCAUUUGCGUCCAGAAUCUCCCCAGUUCUCUCUAUCACAAACCACGAACCAAAAAAUCCUCUCUCUAAAAAGACCACGAACCCCAGCACAAUCUCUCUCAAAACCUGUUAACCACAACACAAUCCG